AAAAGGUUUGGUCCUAGCCUUAUAAUUAGUUGGAGGUAGAAUUACACAUGCAAAACUCCCUAUGCCAGUGUCAAAUCCCACAGAGUUUAUAAAACUCUAAGGAGAGGGCAUCAAGUACAUAAUAUAGCUAAAGACGCCUUGCCUAGCCACACCCCCACGGGACUCAGCAGUGAUAAAAAUUAAGCAAUAAACGAAAGUUUGACUAAGUCAUACCUCUCUAAGGGUUGGUAAAUUUCGUGCCAGCCACCGCGGUCAUACGAUUAACCCAAAUUAAUUAUUCUCGGCGUAAAACGUGUUAUUAGAAAACAAAAAAAUAGAAUUAAAACCCAUCCAAUAUGUGAAAAUUCAUCGAUGGGACUAAAAUCAAUGACGAAAGUAAUUCUAAUUCUCUUAAUACACGAUAGCUAAGAUCCAAACUGGGAUUAGAUACCCCACUAUGCUUAGCCCUAAACUUCAAUAAUUUUUCAAACAAAACUAUUUGCCUGAGAACUACUGGCCACAGCUUAAAACUCAAAGGACUUGGCGGUACUUUAUAUCCAUCUAGAGGAGCCUGUUCUAUAAUCGAUAAACCCCGUUAUACCUCACCACCCCUUGCUAAUUCAGCCUAUAUACCGCCAUCUUCAGCAAACCCUAAAAAGGAAUAAAAGUAAGCAAGAGAAUCACCAUAAAAACGUUAGGUCAAGGUGUAGCCAAUGAGGUGGGAAGCAAUGGGCUACAUUUUCUUAUAAAGAACAUCACGUUACCCCUUAUGAAACUAAGGGACCAAGGAGGAUUUAGUAGUAAAUUAAGAAUAGAGAGCUUAAUUGAAUAGAGCAAUGAAGUACGCACACACCGCCCGUCACCCUCCUCAAACUAAAAAAAUGAUAUCUAUACAUAAUUCCAUCAAAAUUUUACGAGAGGAGAUAAGUCGUAACAAGGUAAGCAUACUGGAAAGUGUGCUUGGAAUAAU
RNAcentral lists this non-coding RNA (949 nucleotides) under Phenacomys intermedius (western heather vole). Its description in RNAcentral is "12S ribosomal RNA". It matches the Rfam family "Microsporidia small subunit ribosomal RNA". The record is from RNAcentral. Lineage: Eukaryota; Metazoa; Chordata; Mammalia; Rodentia; Cricetidae.